RNAcentral lists this ribosomal RNA (278 nucleotides) under Ralstonia sp. IS0805. RNAcentral's name for it is "partial 16S ribosomal RNA". It matches the Rfam family "Bacterial small subunit ribosomal RNA", at positions 167 to 447 of the family's 1533-position model. Lineage: Bacteria; Pseudomonadati; Pseudomonadota; Betaproteobacteria; Burkholderiales; Burkholderiaceae. The record is from RNAcentral.
UACCGCAUACGACCUGAGGGUGAAAGUGGGGGACCGCAAGGCCUCAUGCUAUAGGAGCGGCCGAUGUCUGAUUAGCUAGUUGGUGGGGUAAAGGCCCACCAAGGCGACGAUCAGUAGCUGGUCUGAGAGGACGAUCAGCCACACUGGGACUGAGACACGGCCCAGACUCCUACGGGAGGCAGCAGUGGGGAAUUUUGGACAAUGGGCGAAAGCCUGAUCCAGCAAUGCCGCGUGUGUGAAGAAGGCCUUCGGGUUGUAAAGCACUUUUGUCCGGAAAG